GACGAACGCUGGCGGCGUGCUUAACACAUGCCAGUCGAACGGAAAGGCCCCUUUGGGGGUACUCGAGUGGCGCACGGGUGAGUAACACGUGAGUAACCUGCCCUUGACUUCGGGAUAACUUCAGGAAACUGGGGCUAAUACCGGAUAGGAAUCCUUGCUGCAUGGUGGGGGUUGGAAAGCUUCGGCGGUUUUGGAUGGACUCGCGGCUUAUCAGCUUGUUGGUGGGGUAGUGGCUUACCAAGGCUUUGACGGGUAGCCGGCCUGAGAGGGCGACCGGCCACAUUGGGACUGAGAUACGGCCCAGACUCCUACGGGAGGCAGCAGUGGGGAAUAUUGCACAAUGGGCGGAAGCCUGAUGCAGCAACGCCGCGGGCGGGAUGACGGCCUUCGGGUUGUAAACCGCUUUCAGCAGGGGCGAAGCUUGUGGUGACGGUACCUGCAGAAGAAGCACCGGCUAACUACGUG
This 465-nucleotide ribosomal RNA is filed under the name uncultured bacterium. RNAcentral's name for it is "partial 16S ribosomal RNA". It matches the Rfam family "Bacterial small subunit ribosomal RNA", at positions 28 to 507 of the family's 1533-position model. The record is from RNAcentral.